UUACGGUCACAUCUGGUUGAAUCACCGGUUUCCGUAUGAUCACCGAAGUUAAGCAACAUCGAGCCUGGUUUUUACCUAGAUGGGCGCCCGCUUGAGAAUAUCAGGGGCUGUAAGC
Molecule: non-coding RNA, 115 nt
Organism: Acanthosepion pharaonis
Lineage: Eukaryota; Metazoa; Mollusca; Cephalopoda; Sepiida; Sepiidae
Source: the annotation of a GenBank genome assembly